UACGUAGGGUGCAAGCGUUGUCCGGAAUUAUUGGGCGUAAAGGGCUCGUAGGCGGUCUGUCGCGUCGAAAGUGAAAACUCAGGGCUUAACCCUGAGCCUGCUUCCGAUACGGGCAGACUAGAGGUAUGCAGGGGAGAACGGAAUUCCUGGUGUAGCGGUGAAAUGCGCAGAUAUCAGGAAGAACACCCGUGGCUAAGGCGGCUCUCUAGUACGGUACUGACGCUGAGACGCGAAAGCGUGGGGAGCAAACAGG
Molecule: ribosomal RNA, 253 nt
Filed under: uncultured bacterium
Lineage: Bacteria
Description: partial 16S ribosomal RNA
Rfam family: Bacterial small subunit ribosomal RNA
Source: RNAcentral